Long non-coding RNA from Triticum aestivum (bread wheat), 1810 nucleotides. RefSeq lists it as uncharacterized. Lineage: Eukaryota; Viridiplantae; Streptophyta; Magnoliopsida; Poales; Poaceae. The transcript is spliced from 3 exons. The record is from RefSeq and is a predicted model, not a curated record.
UCGAAUCCAGCAUCCAGACAAGCCGAUAGAGGAGAUAGAAAGAAAAUACAUGUGUCCAUACAUGGAGCACGGGCUCUCGCCUCCUCUCUCACUCGCCGCCGCCACCACCCACAUCGGCCGCUUCUCCGGUGACCUCCGGCGCCGUGCAGCACGCCCCCGAGCUCCCCACGGUCCACGCCACCCUCCCCUCCGGCCAGAGUCUCUGCUCCCGUCCUCUACCGCCCGCUCGCAAGCCAAUCCCCCAUGGCUAGGGUUUCGGGUUUUUUAGGGGAUAAACAAGGGGAGGUAUAGCAGGGCGUUGGAAAUUUGCGGGAGUGGGGGAGAUCGAUGAGGACGAGGACUGUCUGGUGCACUGCUGGUGCGGGGAGGGCAGGGGAGAGGGAUGGCUGUUGCGCUGCUAUUAGCUGCAUAUAGUAUUGCUCCUUUCCUGUUGUUUGUUGAUUGAUGCUGCUGCUGCUACUACUUUGAUGCAGUUGCUGCUAAUUUGAUGUGGAGGACGUGCAGGGACGGACGACAAGCGAGCAGAGAUUUAUCCGGGACCUAAAUUUGGCAGGUAAAAAUUGGUCUAUUUGCCGCUAGCUGGCUUCAUGUGAUGCUAUAGUGUGCUAUGGAGAGGUACAGAGGUUAUUUUACAGGACCAUGAAGGUUCAUGAUUGGCAAUUGAUCUUGGGCUAUUGGCUUAUUAUGAUCAAAACUAAGAGUAUAUGCGCCACUUUUAGUGGUCUUGCGGAGUUGGAAUGUAAUGCUUCACUAUAAUUGCUUUACCGAAUCUACAGACUAAGAAAAUUUCUAUUUCUUGUGUCAGGCAAAUGGGUGAGCUCCCACAUCCCUCUCGGUCUCCUUUGAUUUGUUGCAGAUUUCUUCGAAGCCCAUGACCUCUCUUGGGCCUUGGCAGUGGCGAGCUAGGUGCCGGCGAGGUAGGCGACAUCGUCAACGAGGGCCAUCAUGGCCUCCACCUAUGCCCUCUUGCAGGUGGACUGCUGGUCAUCGGUGCAGCGGGUCGGGCUCUUGCAGCAACAUCUAUGAUAUUCUCUGGACGAGCUGCAGGUAGGCCAGUAGAUGAGGAUUCGACGGCCACCACCGAGGUAUGACCUCCUCUCCUUGCCCUUGGGCUGGCAUCUCUGAUCAGGUUGUAAUCUGCUGCUGUAGUGUUGCUCUUUGGGGAUUCCUAUGGGAUCUAUUUUUGAUUGGUCAAAGCUGGUAUGUUGGCCACUGGUUGGUUUAACAUGAUGCUAUAAUGCGCUACAGAGAGAUAUGUUAUUCUAGUACAAGUGUCCGGUCAGUUAAUUUGAGGAUUUUUGCCUUUUGUUCUUCAGGCCUAUAGCUUUGUGGUUUCAGUCCAACAGUUAAAAGUUGGAUUGGCUUGUAAAAAUUUAUGUGACUGGACGAGUAGGUGAGGAUGAUCUCAUAUGGAAAAUACUGCUCCAUGGUAUUAAAAUCUGUUAUAGGUGUUGGAAGUCAAUGCUAGGAGCUCCUGGGAUCUGCUCAUGCAUGUUUGGUCGGAACUUUUCUUUUGAAUCAAUUGAUGAACCGAUGGCAUCAGAUAUGCCGUAUGUGUACUCCACUACGUACGACCGGGUGAAAACAAGUUUGAUCGAUGGAGAUGGAUUUCUAUCCUGUUGGUGCAAUUGUAUGUUCAGGUGGUUCUUUCAUGUCCGUUCUCUCUAGCUUCUUGAUGUUUUCUUUCUCAGGUGUAAUUUAGUUGCCAUUUGUAAUAGCCAAAUUUUCAUGUCAAACAUGAUUUAAAGAUUUUCUAUGCCAGUUGACAUGUCAUUUAUUUUCUAAACAGCCUAUUGUUGAUGGUGUUUGA